UACGUAGGGGGCGAGCGUUGUCCGGAUUUAUUGGGCGUAAAGAGCGUGUAGGCGGCCAGGUAGGUCUGCUGUGAAAACUCGAGGCUCAACCUCGAGACGUCGGCGGAAACCAUCUGGCUAGAGUCCGGAAGAGGAGAGUGGAAUUCCUGGUGUAGCGGUGAAAUGCGCAGAUAUCAGGAAGAACACCCGUGGCUAAGGCGGCUCUCUAGUACGGUACUGACGCUGAGACGCGAAAGCGUGGGGAGCGAACAGG
Molecule: ribosomal RNA, 253 nt
Filed under: uncultured bacterium
Lineage: Bacteria
Description: partial 16S ribosomal RNA
Rfam family: Bacterial small subunit ribosomal RNA
Source: RNAcentral